RNAcentral lists this ribosomal RNA (446 nucleotides) under uncultured bacterium. Its description in RNAcentral is "bacterial SSU rRNA". It matches the Rfam family "Bacterial small subunit ribosomal RNA", at positions 505 to 949 of the family's 1533-position model. The record is from RNAcentral.
GUGCCAGCAGCCGCGGUAAUACGUAGGGUGCGAGCGUUAAUCGGAAUUACUGGGCGUAAAGGGAGCGCAGGCGGUCUAAUAAGUCUGAUGUGAAAGGUCAUAGCUCAACUAUGGACGUGCAUUUGAAACUGUGUAACUAGAGUGUGUCAGAGGGAGGUAGAAUUCCACGUGUAGCAGUGAAAUGCGUAGAGAUGUGGAGGAAUACCGAUGGCGAAGGCAGCCUCCUGGGAUAACACUGACGUUCAUGCUCGAAAGCGUGGGGUAGCAAACAGGAUUAGAUACCCUGGUAGUCCACGCCCUAAACGAUGACAAUUAGCUGUUGGGGUACUAGUUACCUUAGUAGCGAAGCUAACGCGUGAAAUUGUCCGCCUGGGGAGUACGGUCGCAAGAUUAAAACUCAAAGGAAUUGACGGGGACCCGCACAAGCGGUGGAUGAUGUGGAUUAA